GGGGCCGUAGUACAAUGGCUAGUACGUAUCCAUGGCAUGGAUGAGUUGGGAGUUCGAUUCUCCCCGGCUCCACCA
RNAcentral lists this transfer RNA (75 nucleotides) under Candidatus Saccharimonadota bacterium. Its description in RNAcentral is "tRNA-Ala". It matches the Rfam family "tRNA". From Rfam's summary of the family: Transfer RNA (tRNA) molecules are approximately 80 nucleotides in length. Their secondary structure includes four short double-helical elements and three loops (D, anti-codon, and T loops). Further hydrogen bonds mediate the characteristic L-shaped molecular structure. tRNAs have two regions of fundamental functional importance: the anti-codon, which is responsible for specific mRNA codon recognition, and the 3' end, to which the tRNAs corresponding amino acid is attached (by aminoacyl-tRNA synthetases). tRNAs cope with the degeneracy of the genetic code in two manners: having more than one tRNA (with a specific anti-codon) for a particular amino acid; and 'wobble' base-pairing, i.e. permitting non-standard base-pairing at the 3rd anti-codon position. The record is from RNAcentral. Lineage: Bacteria; Candidatus Saccharimonadota.